AUACGGAGGGUGCAAGCGUUACUCGGAAUCACUGGGCGUAAAGCGCGCGCAGGCGGCUAUUUAAGUUGGAUGUGAAAGCCUACGGCUCAACCGUAGAACUGCAUCCAAAACUAUUUAGCUAGAGUGUGGGAGAGGAAGAUGGAAUUAGUUGUGUAGGGGUAAAAUCCGUAGAGAUAACUAGGCAUACCAAAAGCGAAGGCAAUCUUCUGGAACACUACUGACGCUGAGGCGCGAAAGCGUGGGGAGCAAACGGGAUUAGAAACCCUAGUAGUCC
RNAcentral lists this ribosomal RNA (274 nucleotides) under uncultured bacterium. Its description in RNAcentral is "partial 16S ribosomal RNA". It matches the Rfam family "Bacterial small subunit ribosomal RNA", at positions 523 to 796 of the family's 1533-position model. The record is from RNAcentral.